This 253-nucleotide ribosomal RNA is filed under the name uncultured bacterium. Its description in RNAcentral is "partial 16S ribosomal RNA". It matches the Rfam family "Bacterial small subunit ribosomal RNA", at positions 524 to 776 of the family's 1533-position model. The record is from RNAcentral.
UACGUAGGGUGCAAGCGUUGUCCGGAAUUAUUGGGCGUAAAGAGCUCGUAGGCGGUUUGUCGCGUCUGCUGUGAAAACUCGGGGCUUAACCCCGGGCCUGCAGUGGGUACGGGCAGACUAGAGUGCGGUAGGGGAGACUGGAAUUCCUGGUGUAGCGGUGAAAUGCGCAGAUAUCAGGAGGAACACCGGUGGCGAAGGCGGCUCUCUGGGCCUUACCUGACGCUGAGGAGCGAAAGCGUGGGUAGCGAACAGG